CAGAGUUAGCCGGUGCUUCUUCUGAUGGUACCGUCAUUAUCUUCCCAUCUGAAAGUGCUUUACAACCCGCAGGCCUUCUUCACACACGCGGCAUUGCUGGAUCAGGCCUUCGCCCAUUGUCCAAUAUUCCCCA
This 133-nucleotide ribosomal RNA is filed under the name uncultured bacterium. Its description in RNAcentral is "partial 16S ribosomal RNA". The record is from RNAcentral.